AGUGAACGCUGGCGGUAGGCCUAACACAUGCAAGUCGAACGGCAGCACAGGAGAGCUUGCUCUCUGGGUGGCGAGUGGCGGACGGGUGAGGAAUACAUCGGAAUCUACUCUGUCGUGGGGGAUAACGUAGGGAAACUUACGCUAAUACCGCAUACGACCUACGGGUGAAAGCAGGGGACCUUCGGGCCUUGCGCGAUUGAAUGAGCCGAUGUCGGAUUAGCUAGUUGGCGGGGUAAAGGCCCAACAAGGCGACGAUCCGUAGCUGGUCUGAGAGGAUGAUCAGCCACACUGGAACUGAGACACGGUCCAGACUCCUACGGGAGGCAGCAGUGGGGAAUAUUGGACAAUGGGCGCGAGCCUGAUCCAGCCAUACCGCGUGGGUGAAGAAGGCCUUCGGGUUGUAAAGCCCUUUUGUUGGGAAAGAAAUCCAGCUGGCUAAUACCCGGUUGGGAUGACGGUACCCAAAGAAUAAGCACCGGCUAACUUCGUGCCAGCCGCCGCAGUAA
RNAcentral lists this ribosomal RNA (506 nucleotides) under uncultured bacterium. Its description in RNAcentral is "partial 16S ribosomal RNA". It matches the Rfam family "Bacterial small subunit ribosomal RNA", at positions 29 to 523 of the family's 1533-position model. The record is from RNAcentral.